Molecule: long non-coding RNA, 683 nt
Organism: Mauremys reevesii (Reeves's turtle)
Lineage: Eukaryota; Metazoa; Chordata; Testudines; Geoemydidae
Exons: 3
Source: RefSeq, a predicted model, not a curated record
GCAGGCUGUUGUAACAGGCUGGCAAUGGUUAUCUAAAACAACCCUAUUCUGUUAGCAGGUGUUGAGCCUGAUGGGAAAGGGUUAUAUGAGCUCUGUUGACUCACUGAAGCAGGUGACUUCCAUCAUCUGGAUAUAAGUGAGGUGAAUUGCUGGACCUGCCAAGAAACUGUUAUGAGGAUCAGUAAUAUUGCAGGACAAGCUGCCUGGUUUUGGUGACAAAAAUAAAUACAUCACUCUCAGUCGAAUCGGAGUGUAAACUCCUCGCAGAGCCUACUCGUCCUUCCUUUCGGACUCUCUGCAGGCAGCAGUGUACGCCAGACUUUGCACCGGGAACAAACGGAAAUCUGUCCUUGAGUAGUAUAAAUACAACGCCAGCGAAGCAAACGCUGCACUCCCGAAAUCGCGCCCCCUCCCAACCCCGGGCUUAUUUACAUGAACGUGAGCAAAAAAGUAGCCUAUACCUGUCCCCAUGCGCCAGGCCAGCGGCUAUGGGGAGGGGGCUGUUUCUGGAACUACCUUAAGCCUCCAUCUAAACAGAAUGGUACGUUGGGUGACGGGAGCUGGGGACAGAUCCCCUAAACUUCCGGUUCUGCAACUUCUCAUGAUGAUGCUGAUACUGACCAAGCUGGAAGAAAUGACUUACAGCGCUUUGGAGCCCGGCAGUGCCCUCUCUGUCUGUCCCC